UACGUAGGGUCCGAGCGUUGUCCGGAAUUACUGGGCGUAAAGAGCUCGUAGGUGGUUUGUCGCGUUGUUCGUGAAAACUCACAGCUUAACUGUGGGCGUGCGGGCGAUACGGGCAGACUGGAGUACUGCAGGGGAGACUGGAAUUCCUGGUGUAGCGGUGAAAUGCGCAGAUAUCAGGAGGAACACCGGUGGCGAAGGCGGGUCUCUGGGCCGAUAUUGACGCUGAGGAGCGAAAGCGUGGGGAGCGAACAGG
This 253-nucleotide ribosomal RNA is filed under the name uncultured bacterium. RNAcentral's name for it is "partial 16S ribosomal RNA". It matches the Rfam family "Bacterial small subunit ribosomal RNA", at positions 524 to 776 of the family's 1533-position model. The record is from RNAcentral.